RNAcentral lists this ribosomal RNA (119 nucleotides) under Pteropus alecto (black flying fox). RNAcentral also lists the same sequence under 1 other name. Lineage: Eukaryota; Metazoa; Chordata; Mammalia; Chiroptera; Pteropodidae. The record is from RNAcentral.
GUCUUCGGCCAUGCUACCCCAAACAAGCCUGGUCCUGUUUGAUCUUGGAAGCUAAGCAGGGUCGGGCAUGGUUAGUACUUGGAUGGGAGACCACCUAGGAAGACCAGGUGCUAUAGGCG